UCUAAUACCGGAUACNACCUUCCUCUGCAUGGGGGUUGGUGGAAAGCUCCGGCGGUGCAGGAUGGGCCCGCGGCCUAUCAGCUUGUUGGUGGGGUAAUGGCCUACCAAGGCGACGACGGGUAGCCGGCCUGAGAGGGCGACCGGCCACACUGGGACUGAGACACGGCCCANACUCCUACGGGAGGCAGCAGUGGGGAAUAUUGCACAAUGGGCGAAAGCCUGAUGCAGCGACGCCGCGUGAGGGAUGACGGCCUUCGGGUUGUAAACCUCUUUCAGCAGGGAARAAGCGCAAGUGACGGUACCUGCARAARAAGCACCGGCUAACUACGUGCCAGCAGCCGCGGUAAUACGUAGGGUGCGAGCGUUGUCCGGAAUUAUUGGGCGUAAAGAGCUCGUAGGCGGCCUGUCGCGUCRGAUGUGAAAGCCCGGGGCUUAACCCCGGGUCUGCAUUCGAUACGGGCAGGCUAGAGUGUGGUAGGGGAGAUCGGAAUUCCUGGUGUAGCGGUGAAAUGCGCAKAUAUCAGGAGGAACACCGGUGGCGAAGGCGGAUCUCUGGGCUAUUACUGACGCUGAGGAGCGAAAGCGUGGGGAGCGAACAGGAUU
This 603-nucleotide ribosomal RNA is filed under the name Actinomycetales bacterium TLI235. RNAcentral's name for it is "bacterial SSU rRNA". It matches the Rfam family "Bacterial small subunit ribosomal RNA", at positions 162 to 779 of the family's 1533-position model. The record is from RNAcentral. Lineage: Bacteria; Bacillati; Actinomycetota; Actinomycetes; Actinomycetales.